Long non-coding RNA from Dermatophagoides pteronyssinus (European house dust mite), 509 nucleotides. The record is from RefSeq and is a predicted model, not a curated record. Lineage: Eukaryota; Metazoa; Arthropoda; Arachnida; Sarcoptiformes; Pyroglyphidae.
GUUCUAAUUUAGUCUGUCUGGUUUGAUUUGGCGUUUUGUGUGAAUGAUUGUUGUUGUUGUUAUUUGUGGUUUUUUUUGAUGUUUUGUUGGGCGACUUUGAUCAUCACCAUCAAGUGACUUGGAGUAUUGUUUUUUUUUAUCGACAACCAACGACUCUUUUUUUUAAAAAAAUUUCUAGUUUCCCUUCUAUUAUUCAUACAACCAAUAGCCAACGCCUUAAUACCUCGGUUUUGGCUCCGUGCUUGGCUCGACAUUUACUUGGCACAAUAAGGCUCGAUAUACUACGGCACGGCUUGUCUCCCUUGUUUCUCUCGGUUUUCUUUUUUGAUUUUUUCCUUGUGAUGUGAUGAUGGUUUAUAUUGUCGAUUCACAAAUUUUCUCUGGUUUUUGUUGGUGAUUCAUAAUAAGAGGAAUCGUCGUCACAUGCAGCACAACAACACAUUAUGUUAGGUCUUGAUAAUUUUCUCUGAAAAACAAACAAAUUCUGGCCUUCUUGGAUCAAAUCAAAA